CCAGCCUGGGCAAGCAACAAAGCAAGACACCAUCUCUACAAAAUUUAAAAAAAAAACAAAAUCUCGGAAGCUAAGCAGGGUUGGGCCUGGUUAGUACUUGGAUGGGAGACCACCUGGGAAUACCGGGU
This 128-nucleotide ribosomal RNA is filed under the name Aotus nancymaae (Ma's night monkey). Lineage: Eukaryota; Metazoa; Chordata; Mammalia; Primates; Aotidae. The record is from RNAcentral.